GGAGAAAGAGCGAGAAGAUGGAGGAGAUGGAGACAGAUGAGUUGUGAGAUUCAGGACUUUGUGGGGAAACAUGACUCAUGACACAUAACAAAAACACAACUUCAUUAUUGUCUCCCUCAGGUUUAUUUCAGACAUUCAGUGAGCAUAAUUAUCUCUUGCUGGUGAAUCAGAACUUGGGUAGGUUCCAUUAACUUUUUUGCUCUUAUUAACAUAUCCUACCAACUCUUAAGAAACAAACCAAGUCUCAGUAAAUAAAUCAGAGUUGCCAAGUCUAAGAUGUUAAUACACAAUGAGCUUGAUUCAAUAUCAGAUGUUUCCCCCUUUUCCAACUCAGGCUUUCUUCUAGUUGACAGACAUGAUGGAAGAGACAUUGUUGGCUUCUCUCUUCCUAUGCUUUGUGCUUUCCUCCUCUUUAACACUGUUCUCAUUCCAGUUUUUGAGCUUGUUCUUGACCCUAUUAAGGUUUGGGAAGGCAGGUGGAAGAGGACAGAAAAGAUCAUAAACUGGCUCUUCUGGGCUGAGUACUUUUCAAAUGUGAUUCUCUCUCUGCUGGGCAUUUUUGUGGGUUCCUCUGAGCUUCUCAUUCAUGGAGACCUCUCACAUUUAGAUUUGUUGACCCUCUCAGAGCUAUCUCUACAGUGCAUGUUCACUUUGACUCCCUUCAAGUGUCUUUUAGCUUCUUGUUCCUGGAAUUUCUUUUCUUGUCCAGGUGUCCCUACCUUGGUGGGCCCACUCUGAUGCCAUGGUAGCUCUGUCUACCAAGGGACUUGACUCUUAUCCACCAGAAACAUUCAUACAUCCCUUAUCCCACAAAAGUUUGAGAGAAGAGCUCCACGUCAGCAGGGCCACCCUGCCACAGGUCAUUCUGUCUGAGGAUUGAGUCAAGUUUCAGUCUUCUGUGCCUAUCAAUUGCAAGGGAAAAUCUAGUUGUGAAGAAGGUGCCAUGGGAAGUCCAUUUACUCUGCUGGAGAGACAUGAGGCAGACACUUCUCUAUCCUGAAUAGGUGGGAGAAAGCUCAAAGCAUAACUUUCUCUGAAGAAGUCUCCUUCCAAAUAUUUUCCCACUUUCAUUCUCUCUCUCCCUUUAUCCUUUUUAUAUUUUCAAGGUGAGUGAGGUGGAUCUAUAACUUGGGAAACUACUGUAACUUCUCGAUGGGGAGAAACUCUGCAUAUGGUGAGCUGUCUCACCCUGUUUGGCAUCUGAUACAGAUCAUACUGAUGGCUCAGUAGAAAUCAAGUCAGGAGUAGUCCUCCUCUAACUAUGUUAGUAAUGACCUGCUUUGCAGUUCAAAUAAGCGUGACAAGGAAAUAAUCAAAUUAAGUAAUUUUAAUGGUUUUAUUAAUUAUAAUCUCAGAGUCUAAUAUGAUUCUCGAUACAAAAAAGUACCUAGCAAAUGUUUGUUUGCAGAAGACAAGAAGAGGAAAGGCAGACAAGUCACCUAUUAUAAUCUGAUAAAUGUACCCAUAUGCCAAUGCCCUGCUUUUCCCCCUUUAGCUUCUGCCAGCUUUGCCCUUGAUCUUGCUCUUAGUCCCAAUGGUCAUGUUUACUCUGUUUAUAACUGCUGUCUUUCCUUUGACUAACUGAAGCUCUGAAUUUGGCCAUCUAUCUCUGCAAGUUCACAUUUGCUAUAAAACCUGGUUUUGGGGCUCCUAAACCCAGCAUGCAGCCCACCAUGGGGCUUGAACUCAUGACUCCGAGAUCAAGACCUGAGCUAUGAUCAAGGGUCAGACACUUAACCACCUGAGCCAUCCAAAAAUGUAGUAGUCUCAUUUUUAACCAAUAUGAGAAGAAGAAAAUGAUGUGAAAAAACUGCCAGAAACCUGAUAAGACUGUCUAAGAAUUUGGUCUUUAGAAACAAGAUUUCUUGCCUCUCUGUUCAUUCUCUGUUUGUGGUGUCCAUAGCUCAAUGAAAAACAAGAUUUCAACCUUUUGUUUCUUCUCCCAGAAAUGUUUUUUACCUUGAAUUCCAUACCACUAGAAGACUGUGUAAGUCAUAUAUUUUCUACCUAGUCUGUGAUUUUAAAACGGUAAGACUGCUGCAUAGUGAGGCCCCUCCCAUGUUGGGGACUGCAGGCACAAUGGUGAAGGGUAAUGGCCUCUGCAAACAUGCACAAGACAUGCAUGGGGUGCGAAGGGGAGCUCACAGAGGUAGAUAUUCUUUAAAUUCCUAAAAGACAGUAAGGUAGUUAGUGAACGACACACCCUGUUUCAGCUAUGAGUAAAAAUAAAAAGGCCUGUGUUAGACACUGAGGUUCUAUAGGAGCUAGGUUUGGCUGUUGGUGAUGCUGAGAUAGUUUAGCAUUUGAUCUUUGGAUAAAAAUUGGCUAAGUAGAAGAUUAUGUCAUCAAAAUGAAUGGAAUGCUUUGUGACAUUGGAGGACACGUAAAAUAUGCAAACUCAUUCUCACAAAAGGAAAUAAAGCACAUUCCAUCUCUCUGAGGUUACAUGAACCCCAAAAAGAAAUAAAAAGAUUUGAAUCUAAAAUUAUUUUCUUUAAAUUUAAGUCUUUUGUAGGGCA
Long non-coding RNA from Mustela erminea (ermine), 2519 nucleotides. RefSeq lists it as uncharacterized. NCBI's taxonomy places the organism in Eukaryota, Metazoa, Chordata, Mammalia, Carnivora, Mustelidae. The transcript is spliced from 3 exons. The record is from RefSeq and is a predicted model, not a curated record.